ACUCAAAUGAAUUGACGGGGACUCGCACAAGCGGUGGAACGCGCGGCUUAAUUCGUCGAUCCGCGAAAAACCUUACCAGGGCUAGAAACCAAGCUGCACGCUCCCAGAAACGGGAGAAUCCUUCGAGGGUGCUUGGCAGGUGAUGCAUGGUUGUCGUCAGUUCGUGGCUUGAGCUGUUCCCUUCAGUGGGGUAACGAACGCAACCCCCGUUGUCUGUUAUUUUUUCAGGCGAGACUGCCCCCUCACGGGGGAGGAAGGUGGGGAUGACGCCAAAUCAGCAUGUCCCUUGAUGCCCUGGGCUGCACGCACGUUACAAUGGGUGGAAACAGAAGGAUGCAAUACGGCAACGUGGAGCAAAUCCCUAAAAUCACCCCCAGUACGGAUUGAGGUCUGCAACCGACCUCAUGAAGCCGGAAUCGCUAGUAAUCGUAGAUCAGCACGCUACGGUGAAUACGUUCUCGAGUCUUGUACACACCGCCCGU
This 482-nucleotide ribosomal RNA is filed under the name uncultured bacterium. RNAcentral's name for it is "partial 16S ribosomal RNA". It matches the Rfam family "Bacterial small subunit ribosomal RNA", at positions 899 to 1397 of the family's 1533-position model. The record is from RNAcentral.